GAGUUUGAUCUUGGCUCAGAUUGAACGCUGGCGGCAGGCCUAACACAUGCAAGUCGAGCGGAUGAAGGGAGCUUGCUCCUGGAUUCAGCGGCGGACGGGUGAGUAAUGCCUAGGAAUCUGCCUGGUAGUGGGGAUAACGUCCGGAAACGGGCGCUAAUACCGCAUACGUCCUGAGGGAGAAAGUGGGGGAUCUUCGGACCUCACGCUAUCAGAUGAGCCUAGGUCGGAUUAGCUAGUUGGUGGGGUAAAGGCCUACCAAGGCGACGAUCCGUAACUGGUCCGAGAGGAUGAUCAGUCACACUGGAACUGAGACACGGUCCAGACUCCUACGGGAGGCAGCAGUGGGGAAUAUUGGACAAUGGGCGAAAGCCUGAUCCAGCCAUGCCGCGUGUGUGAAGAAGGUCUUCGGAUUGUAAAGCACUUUAAGUUGGGUAGGAAGGGCGAGUAAGUUAAUACCUUGCUGUUUUGUACGUUACCUAACAGAAUAAGCACCGGCUAACUUCGUGCCAGCAGCCGCAGUAA
Molecule: ribosomal RNA, 522 nt
Filed under: uncultured microorganism
Description: bacterial SSU rRNA
Rfam family: Bacterial small subunit ribosomal RNA
Source: RNAcentral